This 511-nucleotide ribosomal RNA is filed under the name uncultured Desulfobulbus sp. Its description in RNAcentral is "bacterial SSU rRNA". It matches the Rfam family "Bacterial small subunit ribosomal RNA", at positions 903 to 1382 of the family's 1533-position model. Lineage: Bacteria; Pseudomonadati; Thermodesulfobacteriota; Desulfobulbia; Desulfobulbales; Desulfobulbaceae. The record is from RNAcentral.
CGCCUUGCCAGCCCGCUCAGAACUUAAAGGAAUUGACGGGGGCCCGCACAAGCGGUGGAGUAUGUGGUUUAAUUCGAUGCAACGCGAAGAACCUUACCUGGUCUUGACAUCCCGGAGACCCUUAGGAAACUAGGGGGUGCUUCCAUCUGGAAGAAUCUGGAGACAGGUGCUGCAUGGCUGUCGUCAGCUCGUGUCGUGAGAUGUUGGGUUAAGUCCCGCAACGAGCGCAACCCUUGCCUUUAGUUGCCAGCAGUUCGGCUGGGCACUCUAAAGGGACUGCCGGUGUUAAACCGGAGGAAGGUGGGGAUGACGUCAAGUCCUCAUGGCCUUUAUGACCAGGGCUACACACGUACUACAAUGGCCGAUACAAAGGGCAGCGACACUGCGAGGUGAAGCCAAUCCCGUAAAAUCGGUCUCAGUCCGGAUUGGAGUCUGCAACUCGACUCCAUGAAGUUGGAAUCGCUAGUAAUCGCGCAUCAGCCAUGGCGCGGUGAAUACGUUCCCGGGCCUU